UGGGCUUGACAUGUCCGGAAUCAAGCAGAGAUGCGGGAGUACCAUUCGGGGAAUCGGAACAC
RNAcentral lists this ribosomal RNA (62 nucleotides) under uncultured organism. Its description in RNAcentral is "partial 16S ribosomal RNA". The record is from RNAcentral.